Molecule: long non-coding RNA, 1038 nt
Organism: Zeugodacus cucurbitae (melon fly)
Lineage: Eukaryota; Metazoa; Arthropoda; Insecta; Diptera; Tephritidae
Exons: 4
Source: RefSeq, a predicted model, not a curated record
AUUUCAAUUAGAAGUAUUGCAUGUGCCUUGCAUAAAUAAUUUAUAACGAACAUCCGUUGUCAUGUUUAUUUUUAAAUCCUUAAUAAAUAAUGUUGGCACACAGAUACAUAAAACCAACUUCCGAGUGAUGGAUAUCCGUAAAUGUGAACGAACUCUUGAGUACACACUUUAAUGAGUAAACAGGCCAGACGGAGUAUUAGUAUAUUCGUCGUUAGGACAAAGUAUCAAGGAAGUCAAUCGUAAUUCAUAGCUCAUACCAUUUGCAGUCAUACAAUAUGCGAUGCACAGAUGAUUCAUCAAGUCUCCAACCCCAGAUGCAUUUUAUCACCCUUUUGACAGACAGCCAAAGAAAGAAAGUCGUAAAAACGGGAGCGUCAAAUAUAUAAACUCAAAACAAAAUUAUGAGGGAAGGAAGCCGCACAUUUGUAAAUACACGCAUACAUAUAAAUAUGCAUUUAAAGUAUGCACAUAUGAAUGCAAUAAAAUUAAAUGAAAUCUAAUAAAAUUGAAGAAUUUCAAAGUAAUUUUCAAGUGCAUAUUGCACUUAUAAGUAUCUACGUAAAUUUUGAGUGCAUAAUUGAUUAUUAGUUUCACAUACUUCACAAGAGCAGUAAUUUAAUGGCACAUAAAGCAUUUUUACAAUAACGAAAUGAUAUAAUAGUAAAAUAAUAAUAAGUAUAUGUGCAUAUCAAUGACCUCGUAUUAGCACUUUAAGUUAAAAUUCUAACAAACAAAAUGAUUUCACUUACUUCAAUGUCUGGCAAAUAAACUGUUCAGUUUUAUGACGUGUUGAUUAAAAUAUUGUCUUUAUCAGAAGGAAUGUAGUAAUUUUUUUAUUCAUUACUCAUUGAAAGUGUGAUAAGAAUUGCUUUUUAAUACCCAUAUUAGUAAUGCUAUGUAAACCAAAAUGAAUUUCCUUUUAUGGUAAUGUUCAACGCCACACAGCAAAAUCUAAUUAACCAUAUAUAUAUAUAAGCAUAUAUGAAUGUAUGAGCUUAUGAGCUUUACAUACAUAUGUAUAUAUAGAAAUAUUUAUAC